RNAcentral lists this long non-coding RNA (317 nucleotides) under Homo sapiens (human). Its description in RNAcentral is "HSALNT0398525". The record is from RNAcentral. Lineage: Eukaryota; Metazoa; Chordata; Mammalia; Primates; Hominidae.
CACCUUCUCAGAGUAAGCUCUAGCACACAUGUCAUUGGACAGGAGAUGGAGGCUCACACACUGAAGACUCCUGGGGCGUAGCAGGUGGUCCCCAGUGCUGGCUCCUGGGUGGGCAGGCCCAGGACCUUCACAACAUCUGUGAUCUUGGCAGGCUCUGACAGGCGGAGCAGCAUGAGGUCGUGGCUGGAGUCAUCACCUGGCCUGAGGAAUCGAUUCUUCAGGAGGCUCAUAUCGUAGAGCGGCUGUGAGGACCCACUGGGGGUGCACCAGAACACCGCCGCAGACUGCCCUGCCACGAGAGGCCACAAGCACCUGCC